This 273-nucleotide ribosomal RNA is filed under the name uncultured bacterium. Its description in RNAcentral is "partial 16S ribosomal RNA". It matches the Rfam family "Bacterial small subunit ribosomal RNA", at positions 524 to 796 of the family's 1533-position model. The record is from RNAcentral.
UACGUAGGGGGCAAGCGUUACUCGGAAUUACUGGGCGUAAAGGGUGAGUAGGCGGCUGGGCAAGUCAAGGAUGAAAUCCCGAGGCUCAACUUCGGAACCGUCCUUGAAACUGCUCAGCUUGAGGGUAGUUGAGGAGAGUGGAAUUCCCGGUGGAGCGGUGAAAUGCGUAGAUAUCGGGAGGAACACCUGAGGCGAAGGCGGCUCUCUAAGCUACUCCUGACGCUGAAUCACGAAAGCUAGGGGAGCAAACGGGAUUAGAUACCCCCGUAGUCC